RNAcentral lists this long non-coding RNA (592 nucleotides) under Ananas comosus (pineapple). RNAcentral's name for it is "long non-coding RNA (ACOM_LNC040359)". The record is from RNAcentral. Lineage: Eukaryota; Viridiplantae; Streptophyta; Magnoliopsida; Poales; Bromeliaceae.
UUAGUGGUCGGUAACCCGAGAUCCAAGUUCGAAUCCUAGUUUAUUCAUAUUUUCAGCUAAAUUUAGUUUUAAAUAAAAUAAAUGAAGGAGGUAGCAUAUUACCUAUCUCUUAAAAAAAAAAUAAAACACAAAAAAGUAAAAGCUAAAUUAUAUAAAAUUCACGUGUCAAAAUUCGAUUUUUCACUUUUUCUUCUGUCAUUUAAAAAUCUACAUUUUGUCUUUUUAUAAAAUAAAGAAAUAUUCACAAGAGGUACGGUAUGAACCGUGACAAUAAAAUGACCAUUUACUCCUCACUAUUUUGCACUUCUUUUAUCAGGUUUACAGAAGAUAAAGCUAAAGGCAUUUUUGGCAUAAAAAAUAUAUAAUAAUAUUUUAUAAACGAAACCCUAUCGGAUUACUAAAGGUAAGGGGCGAAGUGAAUUUUUUUCAUUUUAGAAGAAAACAAAAUGUAAAUUUUUAAAUGAUAGAAGGAAAAUAAAAAAUCGAGUUUUGACGGUGAAUUUUUAUGUAAUUUAGCCAAAAGAAAAAUUCGAAUUUUGACGGUGGAUUUUUAUGUAAUUUAGCCAAAAGAAAAAUUCAAUUCAAUUCAAUU